This 225-nucleotide ribosomal RNA is filed under the name uncultured bacterium. RNAcentral describes it as "partial 16S ribosomal RNA". It matches the Rfam family "Bacterial small subunit ribosomal RNA", at positions 109 to 334 of the family's 1533-position model. The record is from RNAcentral.
CGGAACACGUACAGAACCUUCCUUCGAGUGGGGAAUAGCCCGAAGAAAUUCGGAUUAAUACCCCAUAGUAUUAUAGAGUGGCAUCACUUUAUAAUUAAAGAUUUAUUGCUUGAAGAUGGCUGUGCGCCUGAUUAGGUAGUUGGCGGGGUAACGGCCCACCAAGCCUGCGAUCAGUAACUGGUGUGAGAGCACGACCAGUCACACGGGCACUGAGACACGGGCCCG